Molecule: ribosomal RNA, 552 nt
Filed under: Fusarium incarnatum
Lineage: Eukaryota; Fungi; Ascomycota; Sordariomycetes; Hypocreales; Nectriaceae
Description: eukaryotic LSU rRNA
Rfam family: 5.8S ribosomal RNA (bases 195-348)
Source: RNAcentral
AGUCGUAACAAGGUCUCCGUUGGUGAACCAGCGGAGGGAUCAUUACCGAGUUUACAACUCCCAAACCCCUGUGAACAUACCUAUACGUUGCCUCGGCGGAUCAGCCCGCGCCCCGUAAAAAGGGACGGCCCGCCCGAGGACCCCUAAACUCUGUUUUUAGUGGAACUUCUGAGUAAAACAAACAAAUAAAUCAAAACUUUCAACAACGGAUCUCUUGGUUCUGGCAUCGAUGAAGAACGCAGCAAAAUGCGAUAAGUAAUGUGAAUUGCAGAAUUCAGUGAAUCAUCGAAUCUUUGAACGCACAUUGCGCCCGCCAGUAUUCUGGCGGGCAUGCCUGUUCGAGCGUCAUUUCAACCCUCAAGCUCAGCUUGGUGUUGGGACUCGCGGUAACCCGCGUUCCCCAAAUCGAUUGGCGGUCACGUCGAGCUUCCAUAGCGUAGUAAUCAUACACCUCGUUACUGGUAAUCGUCGCGGCCACGCCGUAAAACCCCAACUUCUGAAUGUUGACCUCGGAUCAGGUAGGAAUACCCGCUGAACUUAAGCAUAUCAAUA